Molecule: unclassified non-coding RNA, 198 nt
Filed under: soil metagenome
Description: partial contains 5.8S ribosomal RNA, internal transcribed spacer 2, and large subunit ribosomal RNA
Source: RNAcentral
AAGACUAUAGACCUGCGGAGUACCUGCGGAAGGAUCAUUAAUGAAUUUUAGGACGUUCUUUUUAGAAGUCCGACCAUUUCAUUUUCUUACACUGUGCACACACUUCUUUUUACACACACUUUUAACACAUUAGUAUAAGAAUGUAAUAGUCUCUUAAUUGAGCAUAAACAAGAAUAAAACUUUCAACAACGGAUCUCU